AUCAUUUACAAUUAAGUGAAACACUAAAAAAAUAAACGGUUUAUCGAUUGAGUUUUAGCUCGAUUAGCAUUAGUAUUGUGCUCGGUGCAGGAGGACAUAAGUUCGAGUAUGCUGAAGAGCAUUAUCUUUCCAUUCAAGUCUUGAAAGACCGACAUGAUAUAUUUAUUUGAUCAAAUUUUAAUAAAAUUGGUAUGUAUGUAUGAUUAGGUUCUUCCAUUCAUAGGAUACCUAUUUUUUUUUUCAUACCUUUUUAAUUGAUUUAGUGUUAUUUUAUAAUAAAAAAUAUCCAACUACCAUGGUGGAAGUUAGCAAAUCCACGUGCCCAUAUAUAUCCCAACUGUCUGUUUCAUCUGAUGAUCCUAUUUUUAAUUUCAAAGAACAUUCAACUCUGGUGUUUUUCAAUCUUAUAUCCUUCUUUACUUACACCAAUUACUUAUCAAACAUUAAAUAAAUAUUUUUUUAAUAUUAAUUUAUUUGCUCAUUUAAUCUAUCUUUUUAAAAAAUAUUGAUCUACUCAGUUCCAUACCUUUUUAUAAGAAAAUAAUAAAAAGAAAUUGAAAUUUAGGAUAAGAAUGAAGUUUCAAGUGGGAGCACAAAGCUUGCAAUUUUAUCAAAGGUCACUUCUCACUUCAAUUUUCACAUUCAUUCUUUUAUAUGAAUAUUCUGGAUAUCUGAUUGAUUCAAUGUGAUAAGUUAAAUAUUAUCAAAUUAUAAAAUUAAAAAUAAUUAUAUUUUAAAAUAGAAUUUAAAUGGUAUUAGUGAAUUUAAUUUAACUGUGAGAUUACUAAA
RNAcentral lists this long non-coding RNA (789 nucleotides) under Gossypium barbadense (sea-island cotton). RNAcentral describes it as "long non-coding RNA (GBAR_LNC020126)". The record is from RNAcentral. Lineage: Eukaryota; Viridiplantae; Streptophyta; Magnoliopsida; Malvales; Malvaceae.